UUAUGGCUCAGGAUGAACGCUAGCGACAGGCCUAACACAUGCAAGUCGAGGGGCAGCGCGGAGUAGCAAUACUUGGCGGCGACCGGCGCACGGGUGAGUAACACGUAUGCAACCAACCCAUAACAGGGGGGAUAACCCGGAGAAAUCCGGACUAAUACCGCAUAAGACCACGAUAUCGCAUGAUAUAGAGGUCAAAUAUUUAUAGGUUAUGGACGGGCAUGCGUCUGAUUAGCUGGUUGGCGGGGUAACGGCCCACCAAGGCAUCGAUCAGUAGGGGUUCUGAGAGGAAGGUCCCCCACAUUGGAACUGAGACACGGUCCAAACUCCUACGGGAGGCAGCAGUGAGGAAUAUUGGUCAAUGGGCGAAAGCCUGAACCAGCCAUGUCGCGUGAAGGAUGAAAGGUCCUAUGGAUUGUAAACUUCUUUUGCAGGAGGGUAAAGUGAGCUACGUGUAGUUCAUUGCAAGUAUCCUGCGAAUAAGCAUCGGCUAACUCCGUGCCAGCAGCUGC
RNAcentral lists this ribosomal RNA (509 nucleotides) under uncultured bacterium. RNAcentral describes it as "bacterial SSU rRNA". It matches the Rfam family "Bacterial small subunit ribosomal RNA", at positions 17 to 518 of the family's 1533-position model. The record is from RNAcentral.